Molecule: ribosomal RNA, 451 nt
Filed under: uncultured bacterium
Lineage: Bacteria
Description: SSU rRNA
Rfam family: Bacterial small subunit ribosomal RNA
Source: RNAcentral
AGAGCGAACGCUGGCGGUAUGCUUAACACAUGCAAGUCGCACGGGCAGGGGAAACCCUGUCAGUGGCGGACGGGUGAGUAACGCGUAGGUAUCUAUCCUUGGGUGGGGGAUAACGGUUGGAAACGACUGCUAAUACCGCAUGAUAACUGAGGUUUAAAGGCGCAAGUCGCCUGGGGAGGAGCCUGCGUACGAUUAGCUUGUUGGUGGGGUAAAGGCCUACCAAGGCGACGAUCGUUAGCUGGUCUGAGAGGAUGAUCAGCCACAUUGGGACUGAGACACGGCCCAAACUCCUACGGGAGGCAGCAGUGGGGAAUAUUGGACAAUGGGCGAAAGCCUGAUCCAGCAAUGCCGCGUGUGUGAAGAAGGUCUUCGGAUUGUAAAGCACUUUCGACAGGGACGAUGAUGACGGUACCUGUAGAAGAAGCCCGGCUAACUUCGCGCCAGCAGCCGC